GAUUGAAGUCAGUCGUACCUUCGGGUAAUCAGCCUUUCGGGUGCGAUUCUGUGGGGUUUGAGGAGCUUAACACCUUCAUGCUUUGCAUAUUCGUGCUCUUGGGUGUACUUGCCCGUGUGGUUGGUUAACAUCAAUUUCGGGCACCAUAAAAUGGCUGGAGGAAUGUAGCUUCGAUCUUGUAUUGAAGUGUUAUAGCCUUCGGUAGAUGUGGUGAUCGAGAUUGAGGAUUGCAACGGAUACCUUUCGGGGCUACCUGUCUGAUCUCUGAUCGUUGCUUUGGUGCUGAAAGCGUGCUUAUAGUUAUCAAAGUCGAU
This 314-nucleotide ribosomal RNA is filed under the name uncultured Glomeromycotina. RNAcentral describes it as "LSU rRNA". Lineage: Eukaryota; Fungi; Glomeromycota. The record is from RNAcentral.